Molecule: long non-coding RNA, 737 nt
Organism: Stegostoma tigrinum
Lineage: Eukaryota; Metazoa; Chordata; Chondrichthyes; Orectolobiformes; Stegostomatidae
Exons: 3
Source: RefSeq, a predicted model, not a curated record
CUAAACACUGACGCUGAAAUCUGAUGCUGAACACUGAUAAUGAGGACUGACAGUGGACACUGACACUGGCCCUGAACAUUCAGACCAUGACCAACAAUUGGUAUUAGUGGUGGAAUUCCAGGAUUUUGACCGGUGAUAGUGAAGGAAUGGCGAAAUAUUUCCAAGUCAGGAUGAUAUACUAAGAUUCAGUUGUCGUUCUCAAAUGGAGAUCUUAUUGUCUGCAUAUCUGUUUCUCUGAGAGUGCCUCCAAACAACGAGGACAGCCUUCAACAUAUGCUGAACCGUUCUAGUGGAUUCAACAAGCUCAGUACAGUAAACAGCAUGAUCACUGGAAUACUCCAGUGGUAGAAGCCAAAGACUGUGAAUGGUGGAGUGCCAGAGGUCUUUGUGAAAAGGAGCACAUUUUGAGGUACGUUAACAGAAAUGAGGAAUUUUCUCAGAAGAGGAGAAGCUUCCAAACCAGAUUUGAAAAGCAUGUGUCCCGAAAACAUCUUCAGAGAAGAACAAACCACGAGGCGAGACCUACGCGGCAAACAAAGUUGGCAACUUCACUCAAAUCAGCACAGUAUUUGUUUCAAGCCACACUUUUGGCAGGAAAGUAAGAGUUAGGGUUAAAUGUGAAUUCAGUUAAAGCUAUAUAAGAUAAAUUAUGAGUGUUAAAUUUUGAGUUCUGAGGAAGGAUCACCAGAUCUGAAAUGUUAACUCUGUUUUUACCUUUACAGAUGCUGCUAAGCUUU